AUUAAUUCAAGGAAGCUGUCCAGGAGGGUCCUGGAGCUGCAUGUCUACAAAGCAGAGCAUGUCUGAAGUGUCCUGAAUUCAACCUCAGAAAUGUGGACUGAAGCUGCAUUGCUGGUACCCACCAUGAUCAGUUGUGUGAAGGCAGCUUGGCAGUGGUCAUGACUCUUCUUAUUCCUAACUAGUUCAUCUACAAGAGGUGCCAACAGACCACAGCCCAUGGACUUCACAAUUCCCUGUGGAUGGCCCAGCAGCCGUGGUCCAGUUCAGACACGCGGUUCUGUGGAUCGGAGGUACUUGCCGCCGUCUCCUCAGCGCUUUGAUCCUCCUGCAGUCUGACACAUGACCACACCGACCCCUGGAAGGGCAUUAGAGCAGGCUUCAGCGGAGCCAACAUCUGUGCCUCCCAGCACUGCCACUGC
Molecule: long non-coding RNA, 419 nt
Organism: Gambusia affinis (western mosquitofish)
Lineage: Eukaryota; Metazoa; Chordata; Actinopteri; Cyprinodontiformes; Poeciliidae
Exons: 3
Source: RefSeq, a predicted model, not a curated record